Molecule: ribosomal RNA, 253 nt
Filed under: uncultured bacterium
Lineage: Bacteria
Description: partial 16S ribosomal RNA
Rfam family: Bacterial small subunit ribosomal RNA
Source: RNAcentral
UACAGAGGGUGCAAGCGUUAUUCGGAGUUAUUGGGCGUAAAGAGCGCGUAGGUGGUUCGAUAAGUCUGGUGUGAAAUCCCUGGACUCAAUCCAGGAAGUGCAUUGGAUACUGUCGAACUAGAGUGCAGGAGAGGUAAGCGGAAUUCCUGGUGUAGAGGUGAAAUUCGUAGAUAUCAGGAGGAACAACAGUGGCGAAGGCGGCUUACUGGACUGCAACUGACACUGAGGCGCGAAAGCGUGGGGAGCAAACAGG